UCUAGACUAUUAUUAUUAUUAUUAUUAUUAUUAUUAUUAUUAUUAUUAUUAUUAUUAUUAUUAUUAUUAUUAUUAUUAUUAUUAUUAUUUUUGUUUCCUAUUAGAACUAGAACUCUUUAAAGACUAGUAUAAAUAUGAAAUCAAUUUACAAACCCUAGACAUAGAAACUCGAAGCCAACAGUAAAUUUUAGUCGGGUUUUGGAGAGCUGUGGGGCGCAGGAAACGUGAGGAGCUGGAGUCAGUUUUUCGCAGGAAAUCAAGUUCUGGCAGUUUCGGGAGAACGGCCAUAACUUCCUCCACAGAACUCCGAUUCAGGCGAAACAGGCGGCCACGGAAAGCUCUCUCGAAGACAAAGAAGUCGUAUUUCUGGGCGAAAUACGAUUUGAGGACGUUUGAGGCUUCAAACGAAGGCUUGAAGCUGACUGGUCUGUUCAGCUGCGAGUUUGACGAAAACUUUAGAAAUUUCAAGAGUUCAUAUAGGGAUGCGUUGGUAGAAAUCAUCAAAGGGAGUUAUCAAUUUCAAGAAUUAGUUUUGCAGUUUCAGAGUCGAAGUGGCCAUGGAAGUGGAGAAUGACUAGGGAUAAGGAUUUCUUUUACAUUGGACAUUUUAGUUGAACUUAUUAAGUUUUAUUUUAUUUUCAUGUUACUACUUUAGUUUUGGCAAGUUGACUUUGAAAUUAGUUUAAAUUUUCUUUAUAAAUCAAUAAAUUUUAUUUUCACUA
Molecule: long non-coding RNA, 722 nt
Organism: Salvia miltiorrhiza (redroot sage)
Lineage: Eukaryota; Viridiplantae; Streptophyta; Magnoliopsida; Lamiales; Lamiaceae
Exons: 2
Source: RefSeq, a predicted model, not a curated record